GAUGAACGCUGGCGGCGUGCCUAAUACAUGCAAGUCGAGCGAACAGACGAGGAGCUUGCUCCUCUGACGUUAGCGGCGGACGGGUGAGUAACACGUGGAUAACCUACCUAUAAGACUGGGAUAACUUCGGGAAACCGGAGCUAAUACCGGAUAAUAUAUUGAACCGCAUGGUUCAAUAGUGAAAGACGGUUUUGCUGUCACUUCUAGAUGGAUCCGCGCCGCAUUAGCUAGUUGGUACGGUAACGGCUUACCAAGGCAACGAUGCGUAGCCGACCUGAGAGGGUGAUCGGCCACACUGGAACUGAGACAGGGUCCAGACUCCUACGGGAGGCAGCAGUAGGGAAUCUUCCGCAAUGGGCGAAAGCCUGACGGAGCAACGCCGCGUGAGUGAUGAAGGUCUUCGGAUCGUAAAACUCUGUUAUUAGGGAAGAACAAAUGUGUAAGUAACUAUGCACGUCUUGACGGUACCUAAUCAGAAAGCCACGGCUAACUACGUG
RNAcentral lists this ribosomal RNA (497 nucleotides) under uncultured bacterium. RNAcentral describes it as "partial 16S ribosomal RNA". It matches the Rfam family "Bacterial small subunit ribosomal RNA", at positions 28 to 507 of the family's 1533-position model. The record is from RNAcentral.